This is a small nucleolar RNA of Eutrema salsugineum, 108 nucleotides long. It matches the Rfam family "Small nucleolar RNA snoR97". NCBI's taxonomy places the organism in Eukaryota, Viridiplantae, Streptophyta, Magnoliopsida, Brassicales, Brassicaceae. The record is from Rfam.
CUUGUAUAUUUGUGCUUGUAGUCUGAAAAAACUCAGAAAUUGUCAGUGUUCUCAUCAGCUUCAUCUCAUCUAACCAUGAGACUGGAGUUAAACAAGUACACUACAUUA